Molecule: transfer RNA, 72 nt
Filed under: Bos indicus x Bos taurus (hybrid cattle)
Lineage: Eukaryota; Metazoa; Chordata; Mammalia; Artiodactyla; Bovidae
Rfam family: tRNA
About the family: Transfer RNA (tRNA) molecules are approximately 80 nucleotides in length. Their secondary structure includes four short double-helical elements and three loops (D, anti-codon, and T loops). Further hydrogen bonds mediate the characteristic L-shaped molecular structure. tRNAs have two regions of fundamental functional importance: the anti-codon, which is responsible for specific mRNA codon recognition, and the 3' end, to which the tRNAs corresponding amino acid is attached (by aminoacyl-tRNA synthetases). tRNAs cope with the degeneracy of the genetic code in two manners: having more than one tRNA (with a specific anti-codon) for a particular amino acid; and 'wobble' base-pairing, i.e. permitting non-standard base-pairing at the 3rd anti-codon position.
Source: Rfam by way of RNAcentral
GGGGGUAUAGCUCAGUGGCAGAGCACGUGCUUAGUGUGCAUGAGGCCCCAGGCUCAGUCUCUGGCAUCUCCA